CUGUAGAGGUUGAAAACAAAAAAACGGCAUGUUCUGUGAGCGAAUUGUGCUCUAGUUAUAUGUGUUCUUACAGUACUGCAGCCAUGUCACUACAAAAGUACAGAGUUAAAAUAGUUAAAGAAAGCGACAAUGCCGAUAAUUCCGACACACACUGCGUAAAUCGUCGAAGAAUAAGCGCCCGAUUGAAACGACCGAAUCCGUUGUUCGAAAUGUGGCUAGAAGAGAUGAUCGCAAAAGCAGAAGCGAAAAACACGAUGGGGAGAAUUGCGCUACAGAAAGCUCUGACAUCCUUGCGCAGGUAUCCUCUUCCGCUGGCAUCAGGACGAGAUUGUAUUAUGCUAAUGGAUUUCGGCAAAACAAUCUGCGAAAACCUCGAUCGACGCUUGAAAGCUUACCUUGCUGGCGGUGGACAAGUAAUCAUCGAUCACAAUCUCGCUAUCGAAACUAUCCUUAACGAUGAGCAAACAGAGUACUAUCGAGAGCUCACAAAGACUUUUCGAGCACCAAGCGAAAAUGAACCUGAUUUAAUAGCAGCAGCACUAGCACCAAAUGUAGAAGAAGCAAUGUUAAACGAUUCCAUUUUCGAUAACGUACCCGGAACCUUGGAUGCACAUGAUUUUGUCCGUAUAACGCACCCGAAAGUGAUAUUACUUGUAGACACGGGCGAAACAAUUGGCAAAACCAAGAGCACUCUCGAUCGGACGCUCCAAGAACUAACAAAACACUCCAUUGAACAUGAAGUUCGUCGGUUAAGUGUUGGUGAUUUUGCUUGGAUAGUGAGAGACGAUUCUGGCAAAGAAUUUCUUCUACCAUAUAUCCUGGAACGCAAACGCAUCGAUGAUCUUGCGAGCAGCAUCAAAGAUGGACGGUUUCACGAGCAAAAAUUUCGCUUAAAACAGUGCGGUCUACCAAAUGUAAUCUACCUGAUAGAACAUUUAGGAAAUAAUCGGCAAGUCGGUGUGCCAGAGGCAACGCUUGCGCAAGCGGCACUUAAUACUUACGUCCAGGGCUUCACAGUAAAGUACACCGAAAACCACCAUCACACAGUACUGUACCUUUCGGUGAUGACGAACUAUCUAAACAAUUCACUCAAAAAUAAGCUAUAUAAGGAUAUUACCCACAGGCCCUUUUCGGAUGGUAAAGCUCUAUUUGGAAUUUCCUGUCUAACGUUUCCCCUACUUCUGUUUGAUUAUUUCUACAAACAAUCUUCCAAAACGCGCGAUUACUCUGUCCGGAACAUAUUCAUGAAGCAACUCCUGCAAAUUAAGUUGCUAACGAUCGAGAAGGUGAACACUAUUGUGGAAAAGUAUCCCACCCCGCAGUGUCUGUUCCUUGCUUAUACAGCUUGUUCCAGUGAAACAGAGCGACAGAGGAUGCUGAAUUUGCCUUACGGACCGAUGAAGCGAAUGAUUGGAGAAAAGCUUAGCAAAAUCAUUUGUCAUCUAAUGAUGAGUGAACGGUACAACACUUCUUAAGGUGUUUGUACCCAGAGCAGAGAUUUUGAAUGUAUCGUGGAAUUUGUAAACAAUUUGUUCCAGUUUUGUUUAACUCAUAUACAAAAUGGUGGCUAUUCCGACCUUCAACACAAUCCAUCGUAACUAAAACAAAGAGACAGAGCAGCACGAACUAUUUACAACUGUAACCUCAAAGGCUGAACUGAUGGUGAAGGGUGAGGAAAAUCUGUAUUUUGUCAUCUGUGGCAGCUGAUAGACUGGAUUCAUUACCGAUGAAACAACAUUGUUAGACGGCUUUCUAUUUCUGGCUGCAAUCAACAAUCUUCUGAGCUUCGGCCUAUCAAUAGAUGACGAGCAGCGAAUCAACUGGUGUUUUGCAAGCGUCCUGUCCGAAGGUACUACCAAGUGGAUUAAUUCCCAUUGCACCUUGCGAACGCUUACCCCAGGCUGGCGUGAAGGUGAGCUGAAACAGUAUUCCAUUACUCAUUUUUAAGAUCCAAUAGAUGUUUGAUGGUUUCGAACCGGGUUAACCAUCCAUCUACGCUUACCUGUGCUUCACAGAUGAACAUCAAAGAGGCACAAAUCAACAUAACGCUGAAUAGUUUUACAGUAUCCAUAUCGUGAUAGAUUAAUAAACGUUUUGUUGUUUCCU
Molecule: RNA transcript, 2106 nt
Organism: Anopheles moucheti
Lineage: Eukaryota; Metazoa; Arthropoda; Insecta; Diptera; Culicidae
Gene: mus81
Gene name: crossover junction endonuclease MUS81
Exons: 5
Source: RefSeq, a predicted model, not a curated record